This 253-nucleotide ribosomal RNA is filed under the name uncultured bacterium. Its description in RNAcentral is "partial 16S ribosomal RNA". It matches the Rfam family "Bacterial small subunit ribosomal RNA", at positions 524 to 776 of the family's 1533-position model. The record is from RNAcentral.
UACAGAGGGUGCAAGCGUUAAUCGGAAUUACUGGGCGUAAAGCGCAUGUAGGUGGAGGAACAAGUUUGAUGUGAAAGCCCUGGGCUUAACCUGGGAAUGGCGUUGAAGACUGUUGCUCUAGAGUUUGACAGAGGGUCGUGGAAUUUCCGGUGUAGCGGUGAAAUGCGUAGAGAUCGGAAAGAACACCAGUGGCGAAGGCGUCGACCUGGGUCUAAACUGACACUGAGGUGCGAAAGCGUGGGGAGCAAACAGG